Molecule: ribosomal RNA, 405 nt
Filed under: uncultured bacterium
Lineage: Bacteria
Description: partial 16S ribosomal RNA
Rfam family: Bacterial small subunit ribosomal RNA
Source: RNAcentral
AUUGAACGCUGGCGGCAGGCUUAACACAUGCAAGUCGAACGAGUGGCGGACGGGAGAGUAAUGCUUGGGAAUCUAGCUUAUGGAGGGGGAUAACUACGGGAAACCGUAGCUAAUACCGCGUACCAUAGGAUGAGCCCAAGCGGGAUUAGGUGGGUGGUGUGGUAAAGGCGCACCAAGCCGACGAGCUCUAGCUGGUCUGAGAGGAUGACCAGCCACACUGAGACUGAGACACAGCACAGACUCCUCCGGUAGGAAGCAGUGGGGAAUAUUGCGCAAUGGGGGCAACCUAACGGAGCCAUGCCGGGUGAAUGAAGAAGGCCUUCGGGUUGUAAAGUUAUUUCGGUAGCGAGGCGUUAACUACAGAAGAAGCACCGGCUAACUCCGUGCCAGCAGCCGAGGUAAUUC